CUGAACUCAGACGUGAUUACCCGCUGAACUUAAGCAUAU
RNAcentral lists this ribosomal RNA (39 nucleotides) under Pratylenchus convallariae. Its description in RNAcentral is "partial 28S ribosomal RNA". Lineage: Eukaryota; Metazoa; Nematoda; Chromadorea; Rhabditida; Pratylenchidae. The record is from RNAcentral.